RNAcentral lists this small nucleolar RNA (276 nucleotides) under Exophiala dermatitidis NIH/UT8656. RNAcentral describes it as "Fungal small nucleolar RNA U3". It matches the Rfam family "Fungal small nucleolar RNA U3". Rfam says of the family: Small nucleolar RNAs (snoRNAs) are involved in the processing and modification of rRNA in the nucleolus. There are two main classes of snoRNAs: the box C/D class, and the box H/ACA class. The record is from Rfam by way of RNAcentral. Lineage: Eukaryota; Fungi; Ascomycota; Eurotiomycetes; Chaetothyriales; Herpotrichiellaceae.
CCAGACUUCAUAGAAUCAUUUCUAUAGUAAACGUCCUCUUCUGAGCUCUUCACACGAGCCACAGAAUCCUCAACCUGGCUGACGAGACAAAGCCCUCGGCACCCUAGAGUGAAGCCUUAUGUUUACUCUCGCCAGCUCUCGAGAAACCCAGAAUGGAAUUCGCGUUCUUUCUGCUUUCUCGAGACAGAGAGUGGUGAUGAUCUUUGACCUGCGUCCGGGGUUUCUGGCUUCGUGCCGCCCGGCGUGGGAGGUGCCGACGGGCUGAUUCUGACAGGC